Non-coding RNA from Callorhinus ursinus (northern fur seal), 491 nucleotides. NCBI's taxonomy places the organism in Eukaryota, Metazoa, Chordata, Mammalia, Carnivora, Otariidae. The record is from RefSeq and is a predicted model, not a curated record.
CCCCAGGCCCAUUCUCAUUCCAUCACCACCUGUGUUUGUCCACUGAGCCCGUGGCCCAGCCCUCUGUCCCUGCCAGCAACACCACAGUCACAGACAAUAAGGACUCUGUGAUGGAAGAAGCACCACAGGUCUCCCUGUGGGGUCCAUCAUUGGCAUUGCAGUCGGGGUCCUGGUCGGACUGGCACUGUCGGCCGCCCUGGGGUGUCUCCUGCUCCACACAAGGACUGGAAGGUACGAUGGCAUUUCCCACAAGCUGAUCCAGUCCCCCAGCUGAGCCCUGGCCAGGAGGGGACCCCACCCUGACCUAGGAUUCUGGGCUGGCUCUUCCAGGCACCCAACUGCCCCCUCGAUUUUCCCUCUCAUUCCCUCUGGCUCCUUCCUCACCAGCUGCUGCCUGGGGUGCUUCCUUCACAUAUUCCUCAGUUAUAAAUUAGGGGCAACUAGGGAACAGCCCCUCAGGGUUGUCCUGGUUCAAUUGGCAAACCUGCAGU